AUGUCUUGCUCAUUGCUGCAUCUCCAGUACCUGGCACAGUGCUUGGCACCAAGUAUCUGCUGCUACUUGUCAAUUGCAUGAAUGAAUUAUUAUAUACAUUUCUCACAAGCUAUUUGGGGGCUUGGUGCUGGACAUCAAGCGGAAGGCCCCCUGGUACUGGAGCGACUACCGAGAUGCACUCAGCUUACAGUGUUUGGCUUCCUUUCUGUUCCUGUACUGUGCCUGCAUGUCACCUGUCAUCACCUUUGGGGGACUGCUUGGAGAAGCCACUGAGGGACGCAUAAGUGCAAUUGAAUCCUUGUUUGGAGCUUCCAUGACUGGGAUUGCUUAUUCCUUGUUUGCGGGACAGGCUCUCACCAUCCUGGGAAGUACUGGACCAGUGCUUGUGUUUGAAAAGAUUUUGUUCAAAUUCUGCAAAGACUAUGCUCUUUCAUACCUCUCCCUGCGAGCUUGUAUUGGACUGUGGACCGCUUUCCUGUGUAUUGUCCUUGUGGCAACUGAUGCCAGUUCCCUUGUCUGCUACAUUACCCGUUUCACUGAAGAAGCAUUUGCCUCCCUAAUUUGCAUUAUUUUCAUCUAUGAAGCAAUAGAAAAACUGAUUCACCUGGCAGAGACCUACCCCAUCCACAUGCACAGCCAGCUGGACCACCUUAGCCUCUAUUAGUAAGUGUGCUUUCUGCUUAUUUUUAAAAAUUGAGCAAAGGGCCUGAG
This 711-nucleotide small RNA is filed under the name Pan troglodytes (chimpanzee). Its description in RNAcentral is "processed transcript". Lineage: Eukaryota; Metazoa; Chordata; Mammalia; Primates; Hominidae. The record is from RNAcentral.